UUUAGAAAAUUAGAUGGGAAUGUGCAAAACUGAACUAGUGACAGAACAAAUAAGAGAAACUGAAAGAUAGCAGACAGAUGAAGAAUUAGAAGGGAUGAUAUGAACAUCAUUUACAAAGCAUAUCAUUCCAUAAUCCCAACUCAUUUUGAAAAGAACACAUGAAAAAAGGGAAAGACAAUGAAUUCCAGAAACUAACACUUAAUCCACAAUUGAUCUAGUAGCUAAAUUCCAACAAAUUUCAAUCAACUUCAUGGAUUCACAAAGAGCAAAUGCAGAUUUAGAAUUAUUGAAUCAUGCUGAAAUAUAAGGGACAAAUCGAAAAAAGCUGCCAGCAAUAUAGUAAUCAAGGAAUAUAACUCAUAACACAAAAUUCAAGUUCAAUAGGAAUCAUCCAUCACCUUAAAAAGUAAUUUCAACUAAUUGAUUUCAUAAAUCAAAUAUGAACAUAAAGGCUUCAGUGUGUACCUAGAGCUCAGCAAAGUAAGCGAUAAAAUCGGCAGAAAACAGCACCAAUCCCAGCCAAAUAUGACUCAAAAAAUCCAGAAAUUAUCAAACAAAACACUAUAAAUCAGACCAGAUUUUAAAAUCCUUCAUGAUUCCUUUUUUUUCACUUUUUUUCUUGUUUUAGAAGCUGAAAUUUCAGACAUCAGAGCUUGAAGCUAAUAGGGUUCUGCUAUGGGGGUUCUCGGCUGAAGAAGAAGAUAGAAAGGGGGAAAAUGCCGAUGCUCCUCUCCCUUGCGCCACUGCUUGUUUUUAGAGGAGAAGGUCCUCUUUUCGUUUCUUGAGUGAGGAAUUUGAUUCUUUAGUAAUGAUGGAGAGAUGAGGAGGAUGAAAGCAUGUGGAUGGAGGAAGAAAAAGGAAACAAAAAGAAGAGGGUCUCCAGAUGCGCCGUUUCUUCUUCUUUUCCAAGGAGGAGCUCCUGAGUUUUUUUAGGUCUGAGAUAGAAAUGAGCGUGUAUUCUAUUUUAAGUCUUAGGAAUCUAUUAAAUGUGAAGGGAAACGAAUCGGACAAGCGGGUUGGGGAUUGGGCCAAGGGAAGUUUUGGAUCAGAUUUAGGCAGGGUGAAAAUUGACCCAAUUUCAAAAGUCAAACCAUUUACCAAUUCUUUCUUUUAUUUUCUAAUUUUUCUUUUUCUUUUAAUUAAAAUACUACAAAUUAAAAAUCCUAAAUUAUUUAAAAGUAUAAAAUUAAACUAAUUACCUAAUUAUAAAAAUUAUGAACAAUACUUAAUUCUAAAUUAAAAGUGGAAAAUCAAUAAACCAAAAUUAAAAGACAAAAAUGUAAAAAUGAGUUUAAUUUGUGAUUUUUAAAUUUUUCUAAAGCAAAUAAUUAUAGAUUAAUUCUAACAAUGUAAAUAAAUCCUAAAUGCAAUGCAUUAUAUUUUUUAGAUUUUUUCAUGAUUUAAAUAAAAAUUAAACAUGCACAGAAAUGCAAACAAUUGAUUAAAAUCUACAAAAAUUCCUAAAAAUGGUAAAUAAUUAAAAAAAUCUAUUUUCUUGAAAUUCCGUAUGAGUAAUUCAUGUGAGACAAAAAUCACAUGCUCACAGCAGUCCCUCUUUGCUCGGAGACACGAAGGGUUUUCAGGCAAUGAUAGUGAGCAAUAUGAGGGAUUUUUGCCCGUUUAAAACUCCAUGAGAAGCAUUUUUGAAAAUAGCCUGACCGAACCUUGCUUUACAAGUUGCCUACAUAUCCUUGGCUAUAAAGGAAUUAAGUGAGUGUAGUUCUGGAAGUUUUGAUAGUUGGGACUACCGAGAAGCUGUGAUUUCGUUGUUGUUGCUGCUGUUUCUGCUUGCUGAGCUCCUUAUUACACCAUAAUAGAAAAUAAAAAGCUAAACUAGCUAAGCCUAUCAACUACGAGUUACAAGAUUCCUAUCUAUAAAUCUUGAAGCUUGAUCUUGAGUCUUGACUGGCUAUUGCUGUAGACUCCCAUCUGAAUCUUGAUGCUCGUUAGCUGUAACCACUGGUUCAUUCUUCAACUUUGUAUCAAGGCGGGACAUGCGAAGCCUGUGAUUUCAAUCAUAUCUUGGCUCAUCCGCGUCUUUCUCCGUUUCAGCAUUGUGAGUUCACUCUUUUGUUGUCUUUUUCUUUUAUUUAUUCUGGAUUACGACUCAUUCUUUUGGUCAUCUUGAAUCUUGUGCCUCGAGGUCAGACCUGCUCAGACACCAAAACAAACAAAUAAAAGAAAUUUUUCUGCACCAAUUUUCACAAGAAAAAUUUCGUAAGUUAUUUGCAACUAAGAUCCAAAACUUUUUUUCUUUUUUUUUAAAGCGAUAAAAUAAGAAUUGUGUGUCUUUAGAAGGAAAUAUUAGGGAAUGGAGCUCUAUAUCUAAAAUUCUCAACUAGGGAAUGGAUGCCCUAUGUUUGCAAAAAAGCGACUAAGGAAUGGAGGUCCUAUGUCUAAAAAUCUAAACACAGGGAUUGGAGCCCUAAUAUUGGCAAAAAGCGACUAGGGAAUGGAGGCCCUAUGUCUAAAAAUUACAACUCACGUAUUGGAGCCCUGAUGUUGGCAAAAAAAAGGAGAAUAGGAAAUAGAAGCCUUAUGUCUAAAAAUCUCAACUUAGGGAUUGGAGCCUUAACGUUGGCAAAAAAAAGGCAACUAGGGAAUAAAGCUCAUGUGCCAAAAUCAUAACUCAGGGAUUAGAGCCCUAAUGUUGGCAAAAAGGUGACUAGGAAAUGGAGGCCCUAUGUCUAAAAAUCUCAAAUCAAGGAUUGAAGUCCUAAUGUUGGCAAAAAUGGCGACUAGGGAAUGGAGGCCCUAUGUCUAAAAAUCUCAACUCUGGGAUUGGAGCCCUAAUGUUGGCAAAAGGCGACUAGGGAAUGGAGGCCCUGUGUCUAAAAAUCUCAACUCAGGGGUUGGAGCCCUGAUGUUGGCAAAAAAAGGACGACUAAGGAAUGGAAGCCCUAUGUCUAAAAAUCUCAACGUAGUGAUUGGAGUGCUAAUAUUGAAGAAAAAAAGGCAACUAGGGAAUGAAUAUGUCUAAAAAUCUCAACUCAGAAAUUUGAGCCCUAAUUUGGCAAAAAGACGACUAGGGAAUGGAGGCCAUAUGUCUAAAAAUCUCAAAUCAGGAAUUGAAGCCCUAAUGUUGGCAAAAAAGGCGACAAUGGAAUAACUUAGGAUUGGAGCCCUAAUGUUGGCAAAAAGGCAACUAGGAAAUGGAGGUCCUAUGUCUAAAAAUCUUAACUCAAGGAUUGGAUCCCUAAUAUUGACAAAAAGGCGACUAGGGAAUGGAGGCCCUAUGUCUAAAAUCUCAACUGAAGGAAUGGAGCCUUAAUAUUGGUAAAAUGGCGACAAGGGAAUAGAGGUCCUAUGUCUAAAAAUCUCAACUUAGGGAUGGGAGCCCUAAUGUUGGGAAAAAAGGCGACUAGGGAAUAAAUGCCCUAUGUCUAAAAACCUCAACUCAGGAAUUGGAGCCUAACCUUGGCAAAAAAAAGUGAAUAGGGAAUGGAGACCCUAUGUCUAAAAAUCUCAACUAAGGGAUUGGAGUCCUACUAUUGGCAAAAGGCGACUAGGGAAUGGAGGCACUAUGUCUAAAAAUCUCAACUCAUGGAUUGGAGCCUUAAUGGAAAUUGAGACUACUGAAUUAUGUACCUAUGCUAAAAUGAACCAAGAGGGAUUAUUUUUUUUUGUUUUUUUGUUUCGGAACAAAAUUCAAUUUUAAUUUUUUUUUUCUUUUGAGAAAAUCAUUCUUUUAAACAAAUUCCCCUAACGCUUUUUUAAAAAAAAAUCAAGACAUCUUUUUUUAAAGAAAUUAUUGUCCUAAGAGAAAAUUUAUCAGACUAGGUUUUAAUCAUAUGAGAAAGAUUCAUCAUACCAAGAUUUCUAUCCUAGGAGAAAGUUCACCAGACUAGGUUCCCUUUUUUUGUUAUCUUAGGAGAAAAAUUCAUCAGACUAAGAUUUCUAUCCUAGGAGAAAGUUCACCAGACUAGGUUUUCUAUCUUAGGAGAAAUAUUAAUCAGACUAAGAUUUUAAUCCUAGGAGAAAGUUCAUCAGACUAGAUCUUCUAUCUUAGGAGAAAAAUUCAUCAGACUAAGAUUUUGAUCCUAGGAGAAAGUUCAUCAGACUAAAAUUUUGAUCCUAGAAGAAAGUUUAUCAAACUAUGUCCAUUUUUGUUAUCUUAAUAAAAAAAUUCAUCAGACUAAGAUUUCUAUCCUAGGAGAAAGUUCAUCAGACUAGGUCUUUUAUUUUAGGAAAAAAAAUCAUCAGACUAAGAUUUGAUUCUAGGAGAAAGUUCAUCAUACUAGAUUUUCUAUCUUAGUAGAAAGAUUCAUCAGACUAAGAUUUUGAUCAUAGGAGAAAAUUCAUCAGACUAGGUCCCUUUUUUGUUAUCUUAGGAGAAAGAUUCAUCAGACUAAGAUUUCUAUUGGAAGGAAAAUCUAUCAGAUUAGGACUUUUUAUCCUAGGAGAAAAAUGUGACGACCAAAUGGCAAAAUUUUAUGCACGCGAGCAAGAUAGAAAAAGAUAAAAUUUGAGAAACUUUCCUUUGUCGGCUCUUCUCUUCCUUUUAUUUCAAUUUUUUCUUUUUUUUUCUAUUUUCUUUUCUUUUUCUCUUUUCAUUUCCCUUUAUUUUGAACCACUUUCCUUGCACUGCUUUAUUCCUAUUUCAAACAAAGAAAAUUUUAUCAGUUUUGAAAGUGGUGGUCGAUUUGUGGCCUUGAGUCCUGAGCAGCUUGCCAUUUGCUUAAUCGGUUUGAGUUGGUUUCAACGAGACCUUUGCUCUAUAUCAACCUUGAUUAUUUCACACCUAGUACCAUUUGUAUUUGUGGCUUAAUCAGCCAUACCCCAACUAGAGAUCCUUUCUCAGGGACCUUUUCUAAUAUCUUGAAUGGCUUCGCUUUUGGAGCAAUUUGUCUGUUAGAGAGAAUCACCAGUUAUCUUUACUUGCGCAAAGUAGGCUGAUAAGAGUCUUUUGGGGAAGCUUUACAUGAAUCCUCAAGGCACAUUGAUAGUAACAACCAAGUGUGCAGGCCAAAUUUACUAUAUGCAACUGAAAAACUGGUAACAGAUUUUGAAAUCUUUUCUUGCUUGUUUGACAAGGACUGACUCGGAGUGCAGGACAUAAUGAUGCAAAGAAACAAGUAUUAACAAGAAAUGCCUUGGUCGGGAAGGACAUGGGAAGAGUUAUUACGAUCACUUUAAACUAUUAUAAUUGGCCUAUUAUCUGACUUUAAUACAUGUUUUAGCCUAUUGUUCAAUUUUAGCUUUAUAACCGCUUUUAUUUAAUUAUUGUUACAUAUUGCAAAUCAUGUCACGCGAACCGUACCCACGAUUUGCAACAUGCUUAAUUUAAAGAUUAAAUUGUUUUCAGGUCACAUAAAUGUACUCCCGAAUUUUAGUAAUUAGGAAUCAAAGCUACUUAACGAAAACCGUACCCGUAGUUAUGAUAAUUAAUUAAUUCACGUGUCUAAAGAAAACUACGAAAGGUUAAAGGUGUUUUCUAUACUAAGUUAAUAUUAAUGAAAGGGCCAUAUUAUGGAAAUCAAUUGUGGAUGAAGAUGUUAUGACUUAAUUAACACAAAAUUUAUAAAAAUCUGCUUAAAGAAUUAGAGCUAAAGUUCUUGGGAAAACAGUGCUAAUAUGUAAUAUACGAAUAUCAACUUUAAGACAUAAUUUCUAUGCCUCCAGAUAAUGUGACAAAGCAAUCCUUUUUCUUUUUGUAGUUGCUAACUGGAAAGGAACAUUGCAAAUUCUUACGAUGUCUUUAACUUAGAAAUCUGACAUCACUUUUUUCAAGAAGAGAUCAAUUAAUUACAAAUAUUCUUAAUCUACUAAAAACUAAUAUGUAAAAGAUAAAAUUAAUUUUUUGAUCAGGAAAGAAAGAAAGAUAUUGAAUGGCUUUUCGGCGUAACUUUGAAAAAAAAUAGCUCUCUUGGUAAAGUCAUAACAAUUUAUUGCAACAACUCUCCUACAAAAAUUUUGUAAUAAAAAGAUAAAAGAGUUAACAAUAUUUUUUGCUCUUUAGAAAAUUAGAUGGAAAUGUGCUGAACUGAACUAGUGACAAAACAAUUAAGAGAAACUGAAAGAUAGCAGACAGAUGAAGAAUUAGAGGGGAUGAUAUGAACACUAUUUACAAAGCAUAUCGUUCCACAAUCCCAACUCAUUUUGAAAAGAACACAUGAAACAAAAAGGGAAAGACAAUGAAUUCCAGAAACUAAAACUUAUGCCAAAAUUGAUCUAGUAGCUAAAUACCAACAAAUUUCAAUCAACUUCAUAGAUUCGUAAAGAGCAAACAGAGAAUUAGCAUUAUUGAAUCAUGCUGAAACAUAAGAGAUAAAUCAGAAGAAGCUGCCAGCAAUGUAGUAAUCAAGGAAUAUAACUCAUAACACAAAAUUCAAGUUCAACAGAAAUCAUCCAUCACCUUCAAAAGUAAUUUCAACUAAUUGAUUUCAUAAGUCAAAUAUGAACAUAAAGUCUUUAGUGUGUGUACCUAGAGCUUAGCAAAGUCAGUGAUAAAAUCGGCAGAAAACAACACCAAUCCCAGCCAAAAUCGACUCGAAAAAUCCAGAAAUUAUCAAACGAAACACAAUAUAAGUCGGAUCAGAUUUUAAAAUCCUUCAUGAUUCCUUUUUUUUAUUUUUUUUCUUGUUAUUGAAGCUGAAAUUUCAGACAUCAGAGCUUGAAGCUUAUAAGGUUCUGCUAUGGGGGUUCUCGGCUGAAGAAGAAGAUAGAAAGGGGGAAAAUGUCGUUGCUCCUCUCUCUUGCACCACUGCUUGUUUUUAGAGGAGAAGGUCCUCUUUUCGUUUCUUGAGUGAGGAAUUUGAUUCUCUGGUUUUGAUGGAGAGAUGAGGAGGAUGAAGGCGUGUGGAUAGAGGAAGAAAAAGGAACGGAAAAAGCGCUGUUUCUUCUUCUUUUAUCUUUUCUUUAGGUCUCAGAUGGAAGGGAGCGUGUAUCCUAUUUUAGGUCUUAGGGAUCUAUUUAAUGUGAAGGAAAACGGAUCGGGCAUGCGGAUUUGGGCUUCGAUCAAGGGAAGUUUUGGAUGAAAUCUGGGCUGGGUGGAAAUUGACCCAAUUUCACAAGACAACCCAUUUUUCCAUUUUUUCUUUUAUUUUUUAAUUUUUCCUUUUCUUUUAAUUAAAAUUCUACAAAUUAAAAAUUCUAAAUUAUCCAAAUGUGUGAAAAUUAACUAAUUAGCUAAUUAUAAAAAUUAUAAACAAUACUUACUUCUAAAUUAAAAGUGAAAAAGCAAUAAACAAAAUUAAAAGACAAAAAUAUAAAAAUGAGCUAUUUUUGUGAUUUUCAAACUUCUAUAAAAUAAAUAAGUACUGAUUAAUUCUAACAAUGUAAAUAAAUCCUAAAUGCAAUGCAUGAUAUUUUUGGUAUUUUUUCAUGAUUUAAAUAAAAAUUAAACAUGCAUAAAAAUGCAAACAAUUAAUAAAAAUCUACAAAAAUUCCUAAAAAAGGUAAAUAAUUAAGAAAAAUCUAUUUUUUGAAAUUAUGUAGGAGUAAUUCAUGUGAGGCAAAAAUCACGUGCCCAUAGACCUUAUGAAAGAAAAAUCAACCUACACGUCGCGAUCAUAUAUGACUUCGAACUUAUAGUGGGAUUAGAAUUCUGAGGCAAACCAACACUAUACCCGCACCAUAUGCCAACAUGCUCCUGAUGAUGGAAGAAAACGGGGCCAAGCUCGCAUCAUAUCGUGCAUGCCCAUAAAGAUGGCCGCUGAAAAUAUCUCAUCCAUGCAGUUUAAGAAGGGAGUCAAAAGACAUGAACCUAUGGUUCCAACUACCCUUUGCAACAAGAACCAAAAGUCAUAUCAUCGACCUCAGAUGACUGAUAACGCUCCUCAGUGUGGGAAGACUCGUCAAGAAGAGCAAAAGGACAAGUCAGACUGCUAAUCACAAACGGGACUUUUGGAGCCACUACAUGCCCCCAGAAAGACCUUGGGAAAGUGUUUCCCUUAACUUCAUCACAAGAUUGCCCAAAGUCGAAAACCUUGCAUCCAUCUUGGUUGUAAUAGAUUGAUUUUCUAAUUAUGCAACCUUUAUAGCAGCCCCACAAACCAUAUUAGCAGAAGAUACAGCUCGGCUCUUCUUCUCGCAUAUUGUCAAAUAUUGGGGCCUGGCCAAAGACAUCAUUAGUGGCCUUGGCUCAUGCUUCACUAGCAACUUCUGGACAUAUCUCUUUAAGUGCUUCAAGUCAAAAUUGAGUCACAACUCAAGCUUCCAUCCACCAUCAAAUGACCAGACGAGACAGUUCUAUGACAUGCUGGACGAAUAUCUUCGUCACUUUGCAACCGGAUAACAACAGCACAGGGUGAAGUUUUUUGAUGCUGCUCGACUGUGUUUCAAUUCUCAACAGCAUAGGGUGAAGUUUUUGGAUGCUGCUCGACUGUGUUUCAAUUUUCAAAAGAGCCCCAAUACAAACAAAAGUGCUUUUGAAAUUAUUACCGGACAACAACCGCUUCUCCCGCAAAUGGUGAAUGCAUCAACCACACUGAAAUCUCCUCGAGCUACCAACCUCUCAAGGGAAUUGGAACGCAAUUUGGAGAUAGUGUGGAGCUAUCUCGUUAGAGCCCAAGAGCAGGUGAAAAGGUUCACUGAUCAGAAUCUUUGCUUUGUCCAACACCAAGCAGGAGACAAAGUGAUGCUAAACAUCCCAAGGCGGUACUUGUUCGCAGAGAGGACCCAUGACCCCUGCCUACUACAAAAACACAUUGGACCCUUGUCCAUUGAAAGCACAUUAGGAAAGCCAUAUACCAGGUUGUCAUCCCAGCCUGGUGGAAGAUCCAUCCAAUCUUCCAUGUCAGUCGCCUGAGAUCUCUUCGGAAAUACAGGGAACAUCAUUCACAAAGCCAACUCACAAGACAGAGUGGAACAGACCUCACGGCCAACAAGAGCCUGAUCGAUCAUCAUCUUGCAGGUAAGGCUCCGAGGACGUCGCUAACUCAGAUGGGGGAGAAUGUCAUGGGCGGCUUUCUACCAUGCCCCAUGACCCAUUUGACGCACCCCAUGGCAUAUUGGCAAGCCUCCCAACGCCCAGCGCAAUGGUCGGCACCGUGGUCUCGGCGGCGCCAAGUGACAAGCGCGCAUGUGCUUCUGUCGCCCCACCGAUAGCCCAUGCCAGCACCCACCGACCGGUAGAUGCCAACAGCGCCAUGUGCACAGACAAUGCCGAGCGCAUAGUUCAUGAUGAUGCCAACAACGCCGCACACACGGACAAUGCCGCGCGCGGAGACCGUGAUGCCUUGCCAGCAGCCAGCAGCAUGCGGGCUCCAAAUAGUGCCGCGCGCCUACAACAUCGCGCGCACAAACCCUGAUGCGAAAGACAAACUUGCUGCCACGGGCCUGUUUUCUGCCUUGUAGAAAACUAAGUCCUUUUCAUUGAAAAUAUAGAGUAGUUUUAUUUCAUGUACUUCCAUGUUUCUCUAGCUUAGUUAAGUCUAGUCUUAUAACUUUGGUUUACUUUUUUAAGCACUAUUAAUGAGAUCAAGCAAUUUCUAGCAAGCAAAUAUUUCUCUGUACUGGUGUCUCUCCCCCUCUACAGUGCAUAACCUUUUGUAAUAGCUUUCAUUAAUGCAAUCAAGCUUCCAUUCUUAAUUCUCAUUUUCGCAAUUGCUCUUGACAUUGGUUUUCUAGUACAGCACUGACAAACUCGUCUAGCAUACGGCGGGAAACUCACUUGGCGGACAACAAUCGUAGUGACAUCGGUUGCUUAGUCUUACGUCGCCCUUCUAAGGAACCUCAUGAAGGCGCUGCGUAACAGGCCACACGCUUGGGCUGCAUAAAUACAUAUUAUUUCUUUUGCUCAAAUCAAGAUAAUGAUGCAAUUUGGGAAGAGAAAGAAAGGUCCAGGACACAUGAUCACAUAAAUUAGGUGCAAGUCACUGCCUAUAAUACUAAUUUCAGCAACAGAAAGUCCUGCUCUUGAAGUUAACAAGCACAUGAUAUGGACACCUCCUUAUUAAUGGUAAAGGCAAGAUUCCACAAAGCAAAAAACUUCCCUGUCCUCUUCAGUCCAUGGACAACUACUUUAAGCCAUUGUUUUUGAAAUAGAGUCAUAAACUGCCUGAGUGCUAAAACAAACAUCCUUUGCUUCACUCAAGUCCUUUCAAACUAAUGGAAUCGUUUGCGCAACAAUCAUCAAGAAAGAUCAUAUAUAAAGGUCCUGAAACUGAAUUUCGAUUUUCCAGUCUCUCGGAGUCUAGCUUAUAGACAUGACCUAUAUUACGUGGAUCCUUCAUUUACCUUGAACUACCCAUGCCAAUCAGGUGCGACGUGAGUGAAUAUGCUCAUAAACACAUAGCCUAGGUCAUAACUACUUCAUAAGCAGCUUAUGCAACAACGAGAGAGAAACAUUCAGCUGUCCAUUCUGGAAAACCUGUUGGCUCCAUUUACUUAUUUUGCUUUUUCUUUAUCUCAACCAGUCUAUACAACUUUCUUUUUUCAGUUGAGAUUAGAAGCUGUCAAAUUGUUACUGUUCUCUCAUAACAGCAGAUUUACUACUAGAGUUAUGGCAUACAUUAAUGCAUCAGCAACAAAAAACUUAUGCCCUGCCCAAAGUAAUACUACAAGCAAUGCACAUAAUGGCAAGAAAAACUGAAACAACACAAUCAGUGGUCUCCAGAAUAAGUAUUGAUCAAAAACUGGCUUUCAUUCUAAACUGUUCAAUGCUGCAGAUAUAUAAAUACUUAUCACUCAAAAGUAGGAAGGUGGAACAAACAUCUUUGACUAUUAGCUUAACUACCGUUAAAGGAAACAGCGGCAGAGAGUGUCAAAACAUAAGAAGUAAACAUACAAAAAAGUUAAGGGGAUUCAACAUACCACGCGCGUGUAUAACUAUAUAUAUAUAUAUAUAUAUAUAUAUAAAAGGGGGAAAAUGUCGUUGCUCCUCUCUCUUGCACCACUGCUUGUUUUUAGAGGAGAAGGUCCUCUUUUCGUUUCUUGAGUGAGGAAUUUGAUUCUCUGGUUUUGAUGGAGAGAUGAGGAGGAUGAAGGCGUGUGGAUAGAGGAAGAAAAAGGAACGGAAAAAGCGCUGUUUCUUCUUCUUUUAUCUUUUCUUUAGGUCUCAGAUGGAAGGGAGCGUGUAUCCUAUUUUAGGUCUUAGGGAUCUAUUUAAUGUGAAGGAAAACGGAUCGGGCAUGCGGAUUUGGGCUUCGAUCAAGGGAAGUUUUGGAUGAAAUCUGGGCUGGGUGGAAAUUGACCCAAUUUCACAAGACAACCCAUUUUUCCAUUUUUUCUUUUAUUUUUUAAUUUUUCCUUUUCUUUUAAUUAAAAUUCUACAAAUUAAAAAUUCUAAAUUAUCCAAAUGUGUGAAAAUUAACUAAUUAGCUAAUUAUAAAAAUUAUAAACAAUACUUACUUCUAAAUUAAAAGUGAAAAAGCAAUAAACAAAAUUAAAAGACAAAAAUAUAAAAAUGAGCUAUUUUUGUGAUUUUCAAACUUCUAUAAAAUAAAUAAGUACUGAUUAAUUCUAACAAUGUAAAUAAAUCCUAAAUGCAAUGCAUGAUAUUUUUGGUAUUUUUUCAUGAUUUAAAUAAAAAUUAAACAUGCAUAAAAAUGCAAACAAUUAAUAAAAAUCUACAAAAAUUCCUAAAAAAGGUAAAUAAUUAAGAAAAAUCUAUUUUUUGAAAUUAUGUAGGAGUAAUUCAUGUGAGGCAAAAAUCACGUGCCCAUAGACCUUAUGAAAGAAAAAUCAACCUACACGUCGCGAUCAUAUAUGACUUCGAACUUAUAGUGGGAUUAGAAUUCUGAGGCAAACCAACACUAUACCCGCACCAUAUGCCAACAUGCUCCUGAUGAUGGAAGAAAACGGGGCCAAGCUCGCAUCAUAUCGUGCAUGCCCAUAAAGAUGGCCGCUGAAAAUAUCUCAUCCAUGCAGUUUAAGAAGGGAGUCAAAAGACAUGAACCUAUGGUUCCAGCAAUCUUGAAAAGUCAACCAUAAACUUGACACUAUUAAUUGUUUUUCAAAAAAUCACGACCCGUAUAAAUUAUGCAACUAAAAAUUAAAUCAGGAGCAGCAAAUAAGAAGCUCCAACAAGAUGUACACCAAUACAGAUAAAUUCACAAUAUCAGAUAUACCAAAGUAUUUCACAAUUAUGCAACUUUUAUCAAAUUAAAAACCAAAAUACAAAUUUCAAGAAAUACAUUAGUUACUAACAGGAAGAACCUUCUUGACAAUUUCAUCACUAAGAGCAGCAAUCUGAGAAUCAAGAGACUUAAUAGUCUCCUCCUUUUGCUUGUCCAAACUAGCUAAAGCGUCUUGCAACUCAACUUCAACUUUCUUCCUUCCUUCAGCAAUCUUCUGUUCCACUUCCAACUGAGUCUCUUUCUUCAUUUUGUUCAAUGCAGCGGAUACCUCAGCUCUUGCAGCUUUCAUUAUUGCUGCUGCUUGAUCUUCCAAUUGCUUCACUUCAGCUGAAGUGUCCUUCACACUGUUUAAUUUCUCUUUAAUGGCAGAAUCUCUUUCAUCCAUGAAUUUCCCUAAUGGGGAAAAGUAAAGUUUGUCUAAAGCAAACAUGAGGAAAAGGAACUCAGCCAUUAUGAUAGGGAGAGUUAAAUUGAAGUCAAAGAGUGAAGCUUUUUCAAUUUCUUCAGCAAGUGAAGGAGGUGCAAAGGCUAAUGAGCUAGCAAGAAUGACUGAAAUGGACUUGAGAUUUGAUGGGAGGGAAAGGGUUAGUGGGGAUUUGGGUAAUUUGGGGAUGGGUAGUUUUGGAAUUGGGAUUUGCGGCAGGGAAAGUUUGGUUCUUGGUGAUGAAGGAAUGGAAGAAGUGAUUAGGGCUUUGGAGGAAGCCAUGAUCAUGUUGGCCAUGGCUUAGGCUAUUUUCUUGAAUUUUUUUUGCUGCUUAGUUUUUUUCUGAGAUGAAUACACUGAUUUUUUGAUUUUUUGAUUUUGGGUUGGCUGAUAUUUGAUUUUUCAGGUGGAAGAAAGGAAGAUCUCAGAAAGGUUAUCUCAUUCUAUGCCACACAAUCUUGAAGAGGCUGAGAUGGAUUUCUCAAUUCUCAAAUUCUCACCAGUGGAAGGGUGUGCCACUCACGUGCCAUUAAAAUAAAAUAAAAUAAAAUUUGAAAAAUAGGUAAAAAUGUUAAAGUUGAUCUAAAUAGAAAGCGAUGAAUUCAGAUUAUUUAUAAAAUUCGAGAAAUUAAAGAUUGUUUUUAUUGUUUGAGAAGGUAACAUAUUAAUAUAUAGUAUUAAAUAAACAGGGAUUAUAUAAAGCAGUGUAGUCUUACAAGGAGAAUUGAAGCCUUUAAGUACUCAUGUUUAGACCAAAAAUAAAAGAGAACUAGACAGUUCAUCUUCACUAUCUGAAUGGAACUUUUAUUAUCUUCAAAACAUCUCAAAUAUCUAUUUUUUCAAAUUGUCCACCAGAUGCAAGCUUGAUCCACUUCUUAAAGAUUUAUUAUACCAUACCAGCAAACUCAACUUCUUCCAGGAAAAUUCUACCGUAGAAAAUAUAUUACGAAUGGUACAAAGCUUAAAAGCGAAAAAAUAUGGGGAAAAAUGAUUAAAUCUAGCAUAAUUAUACAGGUACAUGGCAAUAUUUCAAGUCACCAAAGUUUAACUAUAGAACGACAUGUUUAUUAUACAAGGUAUAGUAAAAUGCCUACUAGAAAAUUUAAAAAACAUGCCGAAAUAUAUAGGAAUCUUUAUAGAAGUAGCCCGCCGGUUUUCCAAUUUACCUUUUCUAAUCGAUAUACAUAAAUUAUACAUUAAAUAGAUAUGGUGAUACACAUGUUAUACAUAUAUUAUACAUUCGCCGGCUAGUUUUUAGUUUAACUAAUUGAAUGGGUUGCUAUUUAGGUUAAUUUUCAUAUAUAUAUAUAAGGCGGAUAAUUUAAGGCUAAACGAAAAUAUACAGACCAUUCUUGAUACGUACAGGUGAAAUAAUCUGAGGCAUAAAAUACGUAUGAAAUGACAAUCUCACCUAUCAAGGUAUGGGAUAAUGAGAUUUUAUGCUUCCAUAAUUGCUUUGAGAGCCAAGAGAAGUUCCAAGUGUGCCUUUUCAAAUUUGACUGAAUUUGACACAUUGUAUUCCCUAUUUCAAUUUAGAGGUUGAAAACGUUAAUAUACCUAGUAGCAAAAAAGUGGCCUCCUGUCUUUGACUUUGACAAUCAUUCUGAAAAAAAAUGAGCAAAAAGGAAUGACUAAAAAUAGUUAAGAUAUCUAUUUGAUUAAUCCAUUUAGCUCUUUAUUUUCCAUUUUUUCGUUCCAUAAACAGAGAUAAAAACGAAGGACAACUUUGACGUAAUUGGUAAAGUUGCUAUAAUGUGAUCAGGAGGUCACGGGUUCGAGCUGUGAAAAUAAUCUCUUGCAGAAAUGCAAGGUAAGAUUGCAUAUAAAAAACCCUUGUGCUUCACUAGAUCUUGCAGAAAUGUAAGGUAAGAUUGCAUAUAAAAAACCCUUGUGCUUCACCAGAUCUCGCCUGUAAUAGAAGCUUAGUGCACCACGCUGCCAUUUUUACACAAGAUAAAAACCUUUCUUUUUUACAGAUCAAUCCUAGACAUCAUAAUGUAAAGAGUCUAAAGUGAGAACACAACAGAGCUAUGAAAUGGAUUGCUUGUCAACCUAGUAUUCAGUCAAAACUAGGAGAUGUAUCUUAUUCCUUCCAAUGCCUCAAAUUAUACUUUUGUAUCUCUGUUUUCUGCCAAAAGGUAAAACUUACAUUAAAUCUGAAAUGGGAUACAUCAAGAUGAACAAGGGGUCAUGCCCAGAAAAGUCGGGAGUUUCUUUUACACAAUAACCAGAUAUUUUCAGACCUGCACCCGUGAGGUUUUUAGUGCAAAACCAGAUAUUUUCCUAAUUAUCUUGCUGAUCUAGCUUGUUGAAACUCCCUCUAAAUGCCACCCGAGCUCAUCUUGGUACAACCUAUUAUCAUCUAUAGAUGGGAAGAUACACUACAAGCAGCAGGAGUAUAUCUUCUCUAAUGAUAAGCUCAAGCUGGUAUCAAGUAAUGUGUUUUAUUGCAGAGCCUCAAAUGACAGUCUCGUCGGGAAAAGCAUAAUUCAAUGUGUUGACAUCAGUUUCUCUGCAGAAGCAGCUUGGCAUGUUGAAAUGAUUGGGAAGUUACAAGGCUAGAGCUCCAAUCAGUGUUGAUUACCAUUGAUGUUCAACUUGAUUCAUAUCCUAGAGCUGCAAAAAUGCUGGUUAUUGUUUUGCUUUCCAACUCUAUUUGGAAAGUCAAUACUUAUUAUUGUGCAACCGCACAACAAUUUUUCAAAACUCCUUAAGUAACCAUGGGGUAAUCUUGAUGCAUUACUCCAUCUUCUGCUCCACUCUCCUUUCUGAGUUCGCCAGUUUCCGCACAACAAUUUUCCAAAACUCCCCAAGUAACCAUGGGCUAAUCUUGAUGCAUUACUCUAUCUUCUGCUCCACUCUGCUUUCUGAGUUUGCCAGUUUCUGAUACGAUAACCACCCUCUAAAUAAAUGAAACAACCUGUACUGACAACUGCUAAGAAUACCCCCAUCAUUCUCAUCCUCAGAACUGCUGUCUUCAUCAUUCUCUGAAUCAUCUUGGGAUAGAUUAUCCUCUUCUUCACCUUUCCCCUCUUUGUCAGCAGAGCCGUUGGAUCUGCAGAUUGUGUGUUCCAAGAUAAUGUUAGCCCAAGUGCUCUAACAGUGUAGGAGUGCCAGAGGUAUUAAUGAACAUAGUAGACAUUUGAGACAUCCCGUCGCAACAAAAUAUAGGGUGCAACUCUGAUGAUGUGAAGCUUAAGUGAAAUAACCAAGCUUACAUUGGGAAAAAGAUGAAGCUACAGAAGGAACAUCUAGACAAGAAAGGUCCAAACAUUUCUCACUUAGUUCAACAAGUGCUUAGCUAUAGUGUUAAACAUGCUUCCACGAAUCUCUGCAAGCAAAUGUUCCAAGUAUCCUUACAUGAAAUUCUUGGUCCUUUAACCCAUUACUGUAAACUCUGCAUUAAGUUCCCUACCAGCAACAAGUAGUAGAUAAUACUUUUGAUUUUUUCGUUGAACUGAAAAAAUCAGGACGAGAGCAUGUCUCUGUAUUUUCCCUUUUACACCCUAAAAGUUUGAAAAAAGUUAUAUAUGAGCCAAGAUAAAUGAUUUGCUUUUCCAUGUCAGAUCUCUUUAAUUCCUUCAAACAUCUGAAUGGCUGAAAAUUCUUGAAGAGGUCCGAAACCUUCUAUUUCUACUCUGUUAUCACACAAGGUAGACACAAUCAUGCCCCCUCCAUUUACUCAAAUAACACCUCAAGAGAGAUAUAUAACUUGUGGUACCAAAAUUAUUGCAUAAACAACGAGUGCAUUUCACAAUAGUAAAGAGAUGAAGAACAACUACAUUCACGGAAAAGGAUAAGGAUGAAGUUGAUGUUACAGAACUUACGCGCCGGGAUCAUCAAAACAACGGUCCUCUCCUUCUGGCCAUGUUUUUACUGGAUUAUAACCAAUGGAUACAUGUCUCACAAAACUAAGCUGAAAAUAGAGAAAAAAAAUCUAUGAUAGAUCGUCAAAGAAUAUUCACACAGUAAUACUUUCACUAACACAGAACAAAACAUCAUUCUUGGAAAGGAGAAUCGCAUCUCAUGAUAGCAAAUGAGACUCCAUCUAAGACCUUGAAAGAAAGGUUAGCUUGUAGUGAACAAGGUGCUCUGCUUUUGCCCGCAGUUGCUUCUUGACAGUUCUGUAUUUUACUAAAUUAGAGGCGCAAAUCUAGUAAAAGAUACCACAGCCUCCGGAAAAAAAUAAUUGUGCAGAUUUGUAUACCCUGAGAAAUCAAUUCUAAUGUGUCAUGGUGUCACCCCUCCUCUUUUCCCUUUUUCCUUUUUUUUUGGGGGGGGNNNNNNNNNNNNNNNNNNNNNNNNNNNNNNNNNNNNNNNNNNNNNNNNNNNNNNNNNNNNNNNNNNNNNNNNNNNNNNNNNNNNNNNNNNNNNNNNNNNNNNNNNNNNNNNNNNNNNNNNNNNNNNNNNNNNNNNNNNNNNNNNNNNNNNNNNNNNNNNNNNNNNNNNNNNNNNNNNNNNNNNNNNNNNNNNNNNNNNNNNNNNNNNNNNNNNNNNNNNNNNNNNNNNNNNNNNNNNNNNNNNNNNNNNNNNNNNNNNNNNNNNNNNNNNNNNNNNNNNNNNNNNNNNNNNNNNNNNNNNNNNNNNNNNNNNNNNNNNNNNNNNNNNNNNNNNNNNNNNNNNNNNNNNNNNNNNNNNNNNNNNNNNNNNNNNNNNNNNNNNNNNNNNNNNNNNNNNNNNNNNNNNAAAGGGGAAUCCAUAUAAAUCAAUAUCUUCAUGCAGACUUAGUGGUGUUGACAUUCUUCUGAAUCAGCCAAUACAGCUGCAUAAGUGCACAUCACUGAUGUGACGAACCGACAAAGAAAUGGACCUUGGCAACCCCAAAAGCUAGCACAUGAGUAGAUGAUUGCCCAAGACCAUAAAUAAGGAGUACAAUUUCCCUUCCCACAGCCAAUAUGGGACUCAACAAUAACUUUACGGGAUCUCAGGGUGAACUAUAAUCUAAAAUAUCCCAGUUUGAUAAAAAAUGAUUCCCUUUGCCAAGUAGCCCAAUUCGACUGCUAAAGAAAAUCCUCAUAGAACGAAUCUUAAAAGGUGUUAAAAGAAUCUGUGAUUCGUCGUUGCCUAUGCUUAGUUUACACAAGAUGUGCUGAUCUCAGUGGUUCAUACAUCACAGAUUUAUUCCCUUGGGACUUGAGAGAAUAGGAGAGAAAAAGAUAUUUUCUUUUCUGUUAUUCAACCAGCUGACCGUGAAUAAACUUAUGCGGGCAAGUGAAAACACAUUUAGUUGCAGAAGGUGAAGAUCCUAAAAUUAUAAAAUCUAAAGAUUCUAUAAUGCCCGGACGUUCGAUGGACUGAAUAAUUUUUAACCUUGCUGUUAGCCUAAUCCUAUACUGUCUCCUUUUUUCAGAUUGCAGAUACCAAUGUAUUUGCAACAACCAUACACCAUAAAGACAUAUAUAAGAUUGUAUUCAUAUGAUCUUUCCCUAAAAAUCUUAUGAUAGAGAAUAAACCUCAUCACCAUUCUUUAUCCCAUAGGUUCCUAUCAAAUCAUCAUCAGCAAGUAGUUUCUGCCCACAAUAGCUCAGGCAAAAAUGUCCCCAUACAUGUAACCUGCAAAAGAGUCAGAUUCAAAUUAGGAGUCCUAAGAACUAAAUAAUUUGAUAUCUUUUAACUGUUCAGAAAGAAAUCAACUAGACGUUUUGAACAAGGUAGCAAAUAAGUUGUUUGUCACCGUGAAAAGUUAGAACCCCAGAUAAAGUAGAGUGCGAAAGUAAGACGGAAAUGAAAGUCAACAAUUAAUGAAUACAGUUUAAGGAACACCAGACCAACCAAACAUUCAUUAUUGCAUGCCGCGUUUAAGAAAGGGGAUAUUGGAACAAGGAAUUGGUAUUUAAAAUCCAUUAACGUUAAUAACUCUAAUGAUUGAUGGAGAAAAAUCACCAAACCACAUUUUAUCUUGCUAUGUUGCACAAUCCACAUAGCUAGAUGAACAAAACAUAUCUGAAUCGAGAUCCACAAUAAUGCAUCACAGAUAUAGAUUCCAAUAAUCAGCUUUUUGGAUGGAAUAUUUCUCUCUCGGUGCAAGUUAGCUUAACCUGCUUACCAUGGGUAAGAGAGCUCGUAUUCCUUCGCAGAAAGCUCUAAUGGCGAGAGAAUCUGCAGCAGCUCAAAGCAAUGCUCAGAAAGGAGUCAAAGACAAAGCAAUCUGUGUAGAAAAUCGAAAUGAAACGCAAUUAAGCCCUAAUCGCAAUGUAACAGUACCUAAUCAAUUGAGCCCUAAUCUCAAUGGAACAGUACUGAAAAGUAAUGAGAGUGAGAAGAUGAAGCAAAUCGAAGCAAUUCAACUGUGGAAUCGGGUACAAGCAUCUACAAGCAGCAAUCAACCUUUGCAUGUGAACAAUGGCAGGAAAUCAUGGGCUGAAGAAGCAGAAGAAGAGACAGGAAAGCAGGGGAGAAAGAAUUCAGUAUGGGACAACUUCAAUAUAUUAAAAUCCCAAAUGCUAGGUACAAAUUAGAGUAUGUGCAACCUAAAUCGCAAGGUGAGUCAACUUUUGGUGAAAUUGUACUAGAAGACAUAAAAACAGAAGUCGAAUAUUGGGGAAAUGCAGUUAUUUGCUAUGUCCUAGGGGCUCACCCUUCAUUUUCAGUGAUACAAGGCUACAUUCAAAGGCUGUGCGGUAAACUAGGUAUUGACAGGAUUGCAAUGUUAAAAAAUGGAGUUGUUGUGGUGCGAUUUGAUACAGUAAUAGGAAAACAGGAGGUUAUUGAAGGGGGGAUAUACCAUUUUGAUAACAAACCUUCCAUUGUGAACUACUGACAGAAUUAGAGUUCACUUGUGAGGAACUACUGACAGUUCUAAUAUGGAUCAAAUUGCCGGGAUUGGACUUCAAAUAUUGGAGUCCAAGGGGAUUGAGUAAGAUUGGAAGUCUGGUGGGAAAACCAUUGAUGGUAGAUCAAAACACAGAGAGAAGGAAUGGUUUGAACUUUGCUAGACUAUUGGUGGAAGUGGAAAUGGAUGCUAAAUUACCAGAGGUGGUGAAGUUCAAAAAUGAAAAAGGAAGAAUAAUAAAACAGAGGGUAGUUUAUGAUUGGAAGCCAACCCUAUGUGCCCAUUGUGCUAAAUAUGGGCAUGAGGUGACAGUGUGUAGACUCAAGAAGAAGACACCAACAACUGGGAACAAUGAAAAUCAAAAUGGCAAGCAGGAAGAUAAACAAGCUCCAAAGGAAGAUGGGAAAAAGCAGGAAGCUCAGAAGGUUUCCACAGUAAUGAAGGGAACCCCGACUAAAAAUUAUACUAGCCACACAUCAGCAAAGUGAAGCAAAAGUGCAAAGUGCAUCUAAGGAGAGGGAGGAGGCAUCAGGAUGGAAAACUCCUCAUAAGGUACGCAAAAACAAUCCAAAGUGAGCAGAUGGAAGAAUCAAACCCUUUCCACAUAUUGCAUAAACAGGAAGCAAUAAAUCAGAUGAAGGAAGUAAAUGUAGGAAAUAAGGUGGGUGGAUAAACUAUUCCUCAUUGUGGGAAUGGUUAGUCUACUUAGCUGGAACAUUAGGGGGCUAAAUGCCCCUAAUAAGCAAAAGGAGGUGAAGCUCCUUUGCAAUGAGGAAAAAGUAGGCUUGAUAGGUCUACUUGAAACUAAAAUAAAAAAGGAAAAGAUAGAGGGCAUAGCAGACAAGUUGUUCACAGGAUAGUAGUAUCUUACUAACUUGGAGUGUCACUAUAAUGGAAGAAUAUGGGUUACUUGGAGGCCAGACUAUUACCGGAUUGUGUUGAAAUAUAAGACAACUCAAUUGAUAACUUGUGAAGUGCUGAGUAUUCAACUUCAUUUAUCUUUUGAGGUAAUAUUUGUGUAUGCUUUCAAUACAAAAGAGCAGAGAAGGAGUCUAUGGGAGGACUUAGUCAGCCAUAGCAGAACAUGUAAAAACCCUUGGUUGGUUGUGGGGGAUUUUAACUCAAUCUUAAGUGUUGAUGAUAAAAUUGGAGGUAAUGAAGUGACUUGGGCAAAUGUGGUGGAUUUCAAUAAUUGUAUAAUGGAAUGUGGUUUGAUGGACCUUCCUGCACAAGGAAACAAAUAUACUUGGAGUGAUAAGCAUGAUGAGCAAAGAAUAUCUUCAAAAAUAGAUUGGAUAUUCAUCAAUGAAGAAUGGUUUGACAACAUGCCUGAAUGUGCAGCUAGAUUCUUGCCAUAAGGAAUAAGUGAACACUGCCCGGCCAAAGUGUUCUUAACUCGUGAGAGGCACAGAGUCAGAAGAUACUUCUAAUACUGCAAUGUAUGGUCUCAACAUCCACAAUUUUAAGCCAUAGUGAGGGAAGGAUGGAACAGUAAUAUAGAAGGAUAUAAAAUGUUUACCAUUGUCAGGAGGAUGAAAGCUCUAAAGAGGAAGCUCAAAGAAUUGAACUCUCAGGCUUUUCUUAAUAUAGUAUCUGAAGCAAAUGAAAGCAGGAUAAUUCUAAAGCAGGCACAAACUCAACUACAAAUGAGCCCAUCAAAGUUGGAGUAUCAACAAGUAGAAAAGGAAGCCUACAACAGAUAUAGGCAACCUUCAUAUUUAGCUGAAGUAUAUCUACAGCAAAGAAGUAAGGCAACAUAGAUCAAGCUGGGUGAUGACAACACCAGAUACUUCUACUUAGUCAUCAAGCAUAGGAAGUUAAAGCAAGCAACUACUCAACUUAAAGAUGGUAAGGGUAACUGGCAAACUGACCUUGAUGCUAUAGCAGGAAUGUUUGUGGAGUACUAUAAAGAAUUGCUACGGAGAAAGACACAUGAUAGAAAGAAUGCAAUUAAAGGGAUUCUGGAAAAUGGUCUAUUACUAUCAGAGAGCCAGCUGUUGGAGAUGAUGAAGCCAUUCAAUGAGAAAGAAGUUAAACAGGCUGUGUUUCAAAUUGAAAGCAAUAAGAGCCCUGAUCCUGAUGGUUAUGGUAGUGGAUUUUAUAAAUCGGCUUGGUCAAUAAUAGGUAGAGAUGUGUGUGAUGCUGUACUAGAAUUUUUCCAAAAUGGAAAGAUGUUGAGAAAAAUAAACUCAACCAAUAUAGCAUUAGUCCCUAAGGUGGAAAAUCCAGAAGAUACAACUCACAACUCAGUACAGACCCAUUGCCUGCUGCAAUGUCAUAUACAAGUGUAUUUCCAAAAUGAUCUGUGAGAGAUUAAAACCAGCAGUGAGCCAUAUAGUUUUAAAUAACCAAUCAGCCUUUGUUCAGGGGAGAUCUAUGAUGCAUAAUGUGCUGAUCUGCCAUGACCUGCUAAGACACUAUAAUAGAAAAACAUCUCCAAGAUGCUUAAUGAAGAAUGAUCUAAGGAAAGCCUAUGACAUGGUGAGUUGGGAAUUUCUGGAAGAAGCAUUGAUAGGCUUUGGGUUCCCUGAUAGAUUUAUAAAAUGGAUCAUUGUGUGUGUGACUACCACUAUGUUUACAAUAAAGAUAAAUGGAGAAGGGCAUGGUUACUUUGCAGGGAAGAGAGGAUUGAGACAAGGAGAUCCAAUAUUUCCAUUGCUAUUUGUUUUAGUUAUGGAAUACCUCUCUAGGACAUUGAAGACUAUCAGGAGGCAGCCUGAUUUCAGCUUUCAUCCUAUGUUUAAGAAGCUGAAGUUGACACAUCUCAUCUUUGCAGAUGAUCUGAUGAUUAUCUGUAAAAGGAAUGAGAAAUCAGUGAGCAGAGUAAUGGAAGCUUUAGAAUAUUUCAGUAAGGUUUCAGGGUUGAUUGCAAACAUGGAUAAAUUCAGCAUGUUUAUAGCUGGAGUAGAAGAAGAAAUCAGAGAUGUUUUGCUGACAAAAACUGGAUUUGCACUGGGCACAUUUCCAACCAGAUACCUAGGCUUGCCGCUAUCACCAAGGAAUGGAAUAAGAUAGAUUUGCCAAAUGCAAAUAAGGAAGAUCACACAUAGGAUAACUGUCACAUAUUCUAGACAGUUGUCUUAUGCACGGAGACUACAAGUUGUCAAUGCAGUACUUUUCUCUAUACAUAGUUUUUUGGGGACUCUCUUUAUUCUACCUAAAAGUAUUUUAAAGGAGGUUGAUAAAAUGUGUAGGGAUUAUCUGUGGGGGAAGAAUGAGGGCCAGAAGAAAGUAGCAUUAGUGGCAUGUUAGAAAGUUUGCUGUCCAAAGAAGCUAGGUGUUAAAUGUGAAAGGUUGUAAAAUAUGGAAUACGGCAUCAAUAGGGAAGUUAGUGUGGCAACUGGUAAUGAACAAAGAGUCCAUUUGGGUAAGAUGGGUGCACGGUGUAUACAUGAAAGCUGAUAGAGAUUUCUGGACUCAUAGUCCUCCUACUGACAGUAGCUGGUAUUGGAGAAAAUUAAACUCUUUAAAAGGAGAAAUGCAAGGGUGGUACUCACAAGGCAGGUAUAGCCUAAAUCCAGGAGGCAGCUACUCUAUAACUAGAAACUAUCUAGCUAUGAUAAAGCAACGACCACAACUGAAGAUAGCAGACUUAGUAUGGACUGCUGUGGCUCUACCUAGACACAGAUUUAUUAUGUGGCUGGCAACAACAACAACAACAACAACAACCCCCCAGUAUAAUCCCAUUUAGUGGGGUCUGGGGAGGGUAGUAUGUACGUGGACCUUACCCCUACCCUUGGGUAGAGAGGCUGUUUCCAAAUAGACCCCCGGCAUCCUUCCCUNNNNNNNNNNNNNNNNNNNNNNNNNNNNNNNNNNNNNNNNNNNNNNNNNNNNNNNNNNNNNNNNNNNNNNNNNNNNNNNNNNNNNNNNNNNNNNNNNNNNNNNNNNNNNNNNNNNNNNNNNNNNNNNNNNNNNNNNNNNNNNNNNNNNNNNNNNNNNNNNNNNNNNNNNNNNNNNNNNNNNNNNNNNNNNNNNNNNNNNNNNNAAUAGACCCCCGGCAUCCUUCCCUCCAAGAACUUCCCACCUUGCUCUUGGGGAGACUCGAACUCACAACCUCUCAGUUGGAAGUGGGGGUUGCUUACAAUCAGAGCAACCCCUCUUGUGGCUGGCAAUUCAAGGGAAAUUACUUACCAAAGAUAGACUAAUAGGGAUGCAAAUUCCUGUGGAAAUAUGUUAUGUGAAGCAGACCAGAUGGAAACAAAAGAACAUAUAUUUGUUGAAUGUGACUGGAAGCAGUUAGACAAGAUAUCAAUCAGAUAGGGCAAUCAGUGCAUGAAGAAGACUUCAAGCUGAUGCUGGAAAGGAUAAAAAAUAAGCACAGGAAGCAGUUCAAGAAGAAGGUGAUAGCAGCAGUCAAUGGAGCAAUAAUAUAUCACACUUGGAGAGCUCGAAAUCUCAAAAUUUUUCAAGGAAAAAAUGUACAUAGAGUGGAGGCAGUAGAACAAAUUAAGAGGGAAAUCACAGAGAAAGUAGAACACAUGAGGUUAUCAAAGAAGGCUCAUAGGUGUAGGAGUUUUAUACAAAGUAUAUUGUGUAAUUAGGUUGUGGAGUUGGGGACCUUAAUUAGUGGUCUGAAAAAGGUUGCCCUAUAAGUGUAAUUGUUUUGACUUGGACAAGAGGGGUUGCUCUGAUGGUAAGCAACCCCCACUUCCAACCGAGAGGUUGUGAGNNNNNNNNNNNNNNNNNNNNNNNNNNNNNNNNNNNNNNNNNNNNNNNNNNNNNNNNNNNNNNNNNNNNNNNNNNNNNNNNNNNNNNNNNNNNNNNNNNNNNNNNNNNNNNNNNNNNNNNNNNNNNNNNNNNNNNNNNNNNNNNNNNNNNNNNNNNNNUCUCUACCCAAGGGUAGGGGUAAGGUCUGCGUACACACUACCCUCCCCAGACCCCACUAAAUGGGAUUAUACUGUGUUGUUGUUGUUAAUGGUAAUUUUACAUUGUUACCAAAAAAAAAACUAUAGAUUCCAAUGUAAAGAAUUCAUGAUCAACAACCUAUUUAAUUUUCCCUUUGAUGUAAAGAAUUAGGAACCCUUUUUAAAGCACUGCAUCAGGCACAACCAAACUUGUGUGGGAUGGCUAGAAACACCACAAUGCUCGUUUGUUCUGUAAAUUCCUAAUAUAUUCUAUUGAAUUUUUAACAACUCCUCGAAUCCUGUUUAACCCCCCCNNNNNNNNNNNNNNNNNNNNNNNNNNNNNNNNNNNNNNNNNNNNNNNNNNNNNNNNNNNNNNNNNNNNNNNNNNNNNNNNNNNNNNNNNNNNNNNNNNNNNNNNNNNNNNNNNNNNNNNNNNNNNNNNNNNNNNNNNNNNNNNNNNNNNNNNNNNNNNNNNNNNNNNNNNNNNNNNNNNNNNNNNNNNNNNNNNNNNNNNNNNNNNNNNNNNNNNNNNNNNNNNNNNNNNNNNNNNNNNNNCGGCCCCGGCCACAGAUCACAAAACUGUCUAGAUUUGCUAUAUUAGCAGCAUUUCCAUUAGCAGUGUGCAUACCAUGAAAUCUUGCAAUGGCUGAAGGCCUCUUCCACCGCCCGUUUGAGAUCUUCCACGCUCCCAUUUCUAGCCACUUCAAUAUCUACAAAUCCCAAAAUUCAAUACAUUACAAAUCAUCCAAAAUUCACACAUAUGCUCAACCCAAAAUAUGCAUCAAAAGUGCAGAAUUAUACGAAAUGUUACCAAAACACGAGCCAUCCAAUUUGAGGAUGGUAAGCUUAAGGGGUUCCUCAGGUAAUUUAUCAUACAAGAAAGGUGCUGCUACACAAAUAAAAGAUCCAUUCCUUCUUAAUGAAACUUUAGGGCUAACAUCAUCUUCCUCCAUUGUCUCUAAGGUUUGCAUGACUAGUAUGCAAACCCUCAAUUAAACUUAUUCUUAUUUCUGACUUGUACAUUGAUUCAUCACUACCAUGUUUGGUCAAAAAUUUCCCCUGUUGUUUCAAAGGGGUUUGGUGUUUGGUGAAGAAUUAGGGUUAGAGUCUCGUUUAAUGAGGAGAGAAAGAAUGUGAGAGAGGAGAGAGGACAUCAGUUAUUUUUGCUGAUUUCAGCUUUUGUAAGGAAUAGAACGACAGUUAUUUUGGUUCCCGGCAUCAACUGUUUCAAUCACGCACCAACACGAGCGUGUUAAACAAAUUUGCUUCUUCUCGUUCUUUUUUAUUUUUAAUUUUUUUAUAUCAAGAAUAGUAAUAUAUGAAUGCCCUUCAAAUUUCCAAAUGAUUUGGUGGCUACCAUUAGAUGUAGGGAUUUUGAACUUUUUUAUUUUUUCCAACCUUCAAUGGUUCAAAUUCCUUGUCGUUUGAGUUAGUUUUACGAUACUUUUUAUAUUAAAAUUUUCUUACAGUACAUGCAAGUAUUUUGGGAACCAGCAAUAGAUCAAACCUCCCUGUAAUAAUAAUAUUAUAUAACAAUACUUUUCUAUAAAAGUCAAAUUUUUUUCCGAAAUCAUUUUUCAUUUUAUGUUAUAACAUAGUAUAUAUUUUCGAUAACAACAUCUCACUAUAACAUCCAAAAAUAUUUUGACGAACAAAGUUACUAUAAAAAGGUUUGACUUGACUAUAUUAGUAUUAGUACCUCGGAGCUACUAAUAUAAAUUCAAAAAGUUUAUAGGUUUAUCAUCUUUUUCAUGUUACCAUUACACUUAAUAAUAAAUAUAAGUACUUGUAUUUUCCUCCGACAAGCCAGUCAGCUAUUUCUAAAAUUAGCUAGAAGACCCAGUUGAUCUAAAAUUUAUUCACUUGCUCCACUCCUAUUUGCCAACCAAGAAUGUAGAUAUUAAAAUUCUGUCGUCAUAAGAUGGACUAGCAGAAAAUAGAGACAAAUACCGCAAGAUAGAUAAAUUAAUAGGAAAAAAACAAAUUGCCUAAGAAAGGCAUCAUACAGCUAACAUCGUUGGGGUCACAACUUGCCCCAUGAAGAAUCUCGUUAAGCAAUGGGUUUAAAUUACAAACUGUUCACAAAAAGAAUGUCAUUACUGUGUACAUCUCAAACUACUUAAGUUUCCCUCGUCCUUGUGGGGUAAUUCUCCUUUUUAGGGCCCUGGCUCGGUCCUGCAACAAGCUACAAUCUUUACGCUUGCCCAAUUCUCAGUAACAUUAAUUUCAACAGGGACUUUUACUACCCCGAUGAGGAUCAGAUACCUGAAUUACCCAAGGAAAAUUAUACCUUGCAGCUGAGUGUCUCUUCAAACAUCACAUAAUUACCAUUACAAAAAUGGGGGAGAAUAAUGCUGCAAAUAAUAACUUUUCCUGGAACGAUCACAUGGACAUUCUCAACAAUCACUUCCCUAUGAGUUUGUAGUAGGCAUAGAGACCAGAGCCAACAAAUCCCAGAAGCUGCCCAAGUACAUUCAACUGAAAGCAGAUAUCCAUCUACAAUGAUUAGCAGACAAAAUAAAAGUGGCGGUCACAUAAACAGCAAUAGUACGCUUACCAUAUCAAAUGGAAGCCCACCAAAAAUGAACCAUCCUAAGGAGAUUGUAAAAAAGUCCUGCAUAAAAGGAAGAAAAAGCUGUAGUAGUGAUAGAGACUCAUCAAUCACUGACAUUUUAGCUUCUGUUUACUCGAGGUACAUGACCAAUUAAAUAAAUGGAAGUCUCGCAAGCAUAGGACCUUGGUUGGAAAGUGGACUCAAGCCACUUACCAAGGUGCAACCUAUCUCUGCUGAGAAAUGAAAACCCAGAAAGAAGCUCAUCUUCAAGAGAAUCCUACAAGUGCAAAUGCAGAGAGCAGAUUCACAAGCUAACUGCGAUUAGCACAGCUCAAGUUCAAAGGAGAUAAAGAUUGACAGCCAGCCCAGUAUAGUGAAUAACUCUCUCUUCUUUUUUCAAUUUCAUAUUAGAAGCGCUUUUUCACAAAAACACAGGGAGUAGAUGAAAAUUUGAAGGUGCAUAGGGAAUUGAAGGGCAAAGAAGUUGUAGGCAGUAGGGCUCUGAAUCUCGUUUAUUGGCCCCAUGGCGAUUGGAUCACUUUCUACUCUUCUUUAGAGGGGUUUAGGAAGGGCAGGAGGAGGGGGGCAGAGGUUGGUAGAUCACCUCUUCAGUUUGAUACCUAACUUUUGACUGAAAGUGCAAUCUGACUUUUUUGAGUGAAGGUUCAGUUUCAAACUUAGAUAUUUCCGCAUCACAAGCCCCAAGGACAACUUAAUGUAAAUUUCCAUCAGCUCUACAAAAGAUUCAUGUAGCUUCAUGCUCAACUACAACUACAUAGAAAUGAAAAAAACUUUCGACAAAGGACAUGAGCUAUUUUUUGGUAUGUUUAAAGAAAGUAUAUCUGCAAGUUAUCUAUUGAAAUUACUACAAGGAUGAUAAUCCAGUAAUUGUAUAGUGACAUGAGGCUAUUCUAUAAAGCUGGCUUCUGUGGGACAAGGUGAUAAGUUCAGCGAUUUUGUUCUCCUUUGCCAUCAUUUUGGGGAUAUUGGAUGUAGCUGAUGGUAGGUCGAAAUUAUGGCAGUUCCAAUAGAUUGAAAAACACAAUACUUAAAUCCGUACUUUAGAAGUUAACAUCUUGUUCUGCUAGGUAUUUGAUCCUCAUAUGAGUUGUACGUCCAUCUUUAAAUUCCAAGUAUUCAAAGGAGAUGCUAUAAGACCACAAUACUCUUUAGUUCUUCAAAAGGAAAUCAAGGAUUAAUGUGAGGACGAGAAAAUUUACGUGCAACAACAUGCAUGAGAGGAAAUGAGCACUGGAUAAUUGGUACUAUAUCUCAAGAGGAAGGUAUGAUGGACAAAGGCUGCAGGCCUCUAACUGUUUUUGCCACAUCUUCCUCUAACAACUCUUAACUAAAGCUGAUUAAAACAAAAGCAGGAAAAUCUAGAAAGAGAAUCAAGUGACCAAGGUUCUUCAUCACUUUUAUAUGGAUAUUGUAGUAAAAUUAUCAGAGUUAAAAAAGGUAGAUGGAGCAAAUCCCAUUUGCUGGUUCAGGUGAUUAGAUAGAGAUGUAAAUUUUCCAUUUGAUAGUAGGUAAUAUAUUAAAGAAUUCUAACUGCAAAACUUGUUUCAAUUGUCAUUUAGUAAAUAGAAGUCCUUCUAUACACUGUUGGAAAGGAUUUACUAUACUAAAAUUUAUAUUAUAGGAUCAAAUUACAAAAGGAGCGGGCAUGUCCACUUAUAGCUGGCUUAAGGAGGUUAGGCACCCCCCUCCCCCCCAACCCUCUUUUUUUUUUUUGCUUACUUAGCAAAAGAAAGAGAAGGAAUAUGCCCCGUCUUCCAUUUUGUAGCUGUUCUAUUUGGUUUAAUGAACAUGCAGGGUUUAGAGCCUAACCCUCCACCUAUUUAGGUGGAUUUAUGUAAAAAAAUGAAUUCCUUCAGAGAGAACUUCAAGAGAUGCAAGGUUCACAGAGAUAACUUUUACCCUUCACAUGUGGGUUAUCAGCACCCUCUACUGCGACAAGCCUUAUGAGGAGCCCAGGUACUCUAGAAAUGACUGUUCUCCAGCAACUGAAACUUUGUGAAAAAUAACAAAAAGAAGAGCACGUGCUAGAAAUUCUUACUAUUCAUUAAUCGCUAGUCCUAGCUUAGAAUGAUGAGAUAUUUUAAUUGGCAUUAGAAACCAAAAACUUGCACACUGGGGAGCCAAACCUCAAAAUUACAUCCUAUGAGCAAAACCCCUCUGGUCAGCAUGCAAGGAUGCAAGCAAAAUACAGAAUCUCCUUUCAUUUUCUCAAAAUAGCACAAUCGCUUGCAAUCGUGCACUCUAUUCAACUCCAGUUGACAAAGCAAAGUAUUUGACUACCUGAAUUAUGGACUUGGAUUCCUCCACAAGACCACAAACAUCUUUUGCCGGAAAAAUGAUACUUCGCACUUUCUCCAAUUGGAGUAUCAACCCAGUAAGGUGAAUCAGAAAGCUUAAUAGAAUAAAAAGAUUCCUUGGAGAACAAACCUUCAAGUUACCACAUAUUGUCUGUGUGACAGCUGAAUUCAGUGUUGUAUUGAGAAAUAUGCAGUAGUUCAAGAAAAAUGCCAAUAUGCAAGACAUAAGCAUUACGACCUGCUCAUUUACAAAAUACGAGAGUCAAAACACAGCUAUACGACAUCCCAUUAAGACACUUAUAAGUAGCAGUUAAAUGUCCAGCAACAGUUGGAAGGAACCAGGUGAGAGUAUGCUAGUAUGAAAAUGGUGGGACAUAUUUACAUUUGAAACAACAUUGAUGUUUGGAGCAGGAUUCACUCUCUAUGCUUUUCCUUUUUACCCAAGGGAAGCAAAAAUAUUGUUCCAGAGGUGGGAGAUGGGGGAGUGGGGAAGAACACCUAUGACUUUGAGCUCCCCAAGAGACAAUGCGAUGAAGCAAAGUGGACUAUCACAUUAUGUGGUACAGGAAAAGAUCAGUGAGAUAGUAAGAUACCAUAAUCAAAUUAACCGUGAAACUUACCAGGAAACCUGGUGAAAACAAGUACGGAAAGUUCAUUGUCAGUGCGAGGUCACCUCGAAUAAGUGACCAAACAAGUAAGAGAGGCCCACAGAUGAUUCCUAUUAGAGGUAAAAAGAACAAAAAGAAUCAGAAAACCAGAACUAGGAUGAACAGCAAGGAUGACUAAUAGAGAACGAGAGCAAUACCAUUGCACCACAUUAGGCCAAAGCUAUUGAGGCCACUUGAUUUUCCUGGAUAGCUGGAAAUAUUAGAAAGGACCAAAAAGAUAUCAACCUGAAAAGAAUACAUGACAAGGCAAAAACAUUACCAAUCCGCGCUAUGGUUGCAAGGUAUAUUGCCGUUGUGAUGUUGGAUAAGAAGACAACAGCAUAGCCAUAAAAGUCAAAUGACAAGUCCCGAGCUCCAGCGACAAAAGCACCAAACACGAUUAUCACCACACUGGUAAUGUUAGGCAAUGUUUGUUAGAGAACGAGCGAGAAAUAUGCUCACGGUGUUACUCAAACUAUGUGCUUGAAUUAUGUGUGAUUAAGAGAACCCUUAACAGAAGAAGCACGAAUAAAACUUACGGAAGGCAGGCAACAAUAACUUAUCUUCUUACGGGUCAAUUUAGAAGUGUAAAAGGAGAAUCCCAGAGGUUAUUAUGGUUACCAAGAUUAGGAAAAUGUUCAUGGUAUAAAAUUCAAUAAUAUCUUAUACCGUGUUUGGUUAGAAUUUUAUAUGACAAAUUUGGUAUUAUUUUGUGCCGGAUCCAGCAUGGAUAACUCACACAGGGAUUCACUUUAUGGGUAUAAAACACCUAAAAACAAAAAUAACCUUGAUUAAAUCUUUCUAUUCUUUAUUUACUUCUAAAAUAAGGUAAAAUUGUAAAUUUUUACAUUAUACACCGUAUAUUUCAUUUUUAAUGCAAUCAACCAAACAUCUGGCAAGCACUAAAUAAACCAGUGAUUAUAAAUCCCUGUAUACAAUCCUUGGAUUAUAAUUCUUGCAUAACAGAAUCCCUGGGGUCGUUUGCUUUCGCUAACAAGGUUAUGCCGGGAUUAGUUAUCCUUGUAUUAUUUCUUAUCGAUUGUUUGGUAUGUUGUAUUAAUCCUCGGAUUGCCAAUUAUACUACUUAUCCUGGGAUUAUUAUUCCACCCACUGGCAGGUAUAAGUUAUCCCGGUACUUCUUUUCAUCUUGGGAUAACUUAUCCCAAGAUUAGUAACCAAACAAGGGAUAAAGCGAUACUAAAUUUUUAUACCAGGAUUAAUUUUGCUUUAUCCAUCAUACCAAACAAGUCCUUAGUGUUUAAAUGAUAAACCCCUUAAUAGACCGUUAGUACUAAUUACUAGAAAUUUACAGAACUGAGACGAAAGAGAAAAUUAAACGUUCUAUUCUUUUUGGAGCUUCCAGCAGAGCGCAGAUGAAGCAACAGAAUAUAGCGAUAUAUUUGGCUCUCAUGUAUCAUACCAUUAUGCUAUUUAAGGCUGUCAGGUUGAGCAACCAGUUUCCAACUUUAUGCAUUUAGUCAGAAAUCACAUUUCCCAGGGUCAAAAGCCUCGUUUCAACUUUAUGCAUUUUUUAGUCAAAAAAAUUUU
RNAcentral lists this long non-coding RNA (31127 nucleotides) under Nicotiana benthamiana. Its description in RNAcentral is "long non-coding RNA (NBEN_LNC011233)". Lineage: Eukaryota; Viridiplantae; Streptophyta; Magnoliopsida; Solanales; Solanaceae. The record is from RNAcentral.